Molecule: ribosomal RNA, 742 nt
Filed under: uncultured bacterium
Lineage: Bacteria
Description: bacterial SSU rRNA
Rfam family: Bacterial small subunit ribosomal RNA
Source: RNAcentral
AGCGGCGGACGGGUGAGUAACACGUGGGUAACCUGCCCAAGAGACUGGGAUAACACCUGGAAACAGAUGCUAAUACCGGAUAACAACACUAGACGCAUGUCUAGAGUUUGAAAGAUGGUUCUGCUAUCACUCCUGGAUGGACCUGCGGUGCAUUAGCUAGUUGGUAAGGUAACGGCUUACCAAGGCAAUGAUGCAUAGCCGAGUUGAGAGACUGAUCGGCCACAUUGGGACUGAGACACGGCCCAAACUCCUACGGGAGGCAGCAGUAGGGAAUCUUCCACAAUGGACGAAAGUCUGAUGGAGCAACGCCGCGUGAGUGAAGAAGGGUUUCGGCUCGUAAAGCUCUGUUGGUAGUGAAGAAAGAUAGAGGUAGUAACUGGCCUUUAUUUGACGGUAAUUACUUAGAAAGUCACGGCUAACUACGUGCCAGCAGCCGCGGUAAUACGUAGGUGGCAAGCGUUGUCCGGAUUUAUUAGGCGUAAAGCGAGUGCAGGCGGUUCAAUAAGUCUGAUGUGAAAGCCUUCGGCUCAACCGGAGAAUUGCAUCAGAAACUGUUGAACUUGAGUGCAGAAGAGGAGAGUGGAACUCCAUGUGUAGCGGUGGAAUGCGUAGAUAUAUGGAAGAACACCAGUGGCGAAGGCGGCUCUCUGGUCUGCAACUGACGCUGAGGCUCGAAAGCAUGGGUAGCGAACAGGAUUAGAUACCCUGGUAGUCCAUGCCGUAAACGAUGAGUGCUAAGUGU